GACGAACGCUGGCGGCGUGCCUAAUACAUGCAAGUCGAGCGGAAUGAUGAAGAAGCUUGCUUCUUCUGAUUUUAGCGGCGGACGGGUGAGUAACACGUGGGCAACCUACCUUGUAGAUUGGGAUAACUCCGGGAAACCGGGGCUAAUACCGAAUAAUCCAUUUUGCUUCAUGGCGAGAUGUUGAAAGACGGUUUCGGCUGUCACUACAAGAUGGGCCCGCGGCGCAUUAGCUAGUUGGUAGGGUAAUGGCCUACCAAGGCGACGAUGCGUAGCCGACCUGAGAGGGUGAUCGGCCACACUGGGACUGAGACACGGCCCAGACUCCUACGGGAGGCAGCAGUAGGGAAUCUUCCGCAAUGGACGAAAGUCUGACGGAGCAACGCCGCGUGAGUGAAGAAGGUUUUCGGAUCGUAAAACUCUGUUGUUAGGGAAGAACACGUACGAGAGUAACUGCUCGUACCUUGACGGUACCUUAUUAGAAAGCCACGGCUAACUACGUG
Molecule: ribosomal RNA, 500 nt
Filed under: uncultured bacterium
Lineage: Bacteria
Description: bacterial SSU rRNA
Rfam family: Bacterial small subunit ribosomal RNA
Source: RNAcentral